RNAcentral lists this ribosomal RNA (3023 nucleotides) under Salmonella enterica subsp. enterica serovar Hillingdon str. N1529-D3. RNAcentral's name for it is "bacterial LSU rRNA". It matches the Rfam family "Bacterial large subunit ribosomal RNA". Lineage: Bacteria; Pseudomonadati; Pseudomonadota; Gammaproteobacteria; Enterobacterales; Enterobacteriaceae. The record is from RNAcentral.
UGUGAGGUUAAGCGACUAAGCGUACACGGUGGAUGCCCUGGCAGUCAGAGGCGAUGAAGGGCGUGCUAAUCUGCGAUAAGCGCCGGUAAGGUGAUAUGAACCGUUAUAACCGGCGAUACCCGAAUGGGGAAACCCAGUGUGACUCGUCACACUAUCAUUAACUGAAUCCAUAGGUUAAUGAGGCGAACCGGGGGAACUGAAACAUCUAAGUACCCCGAGGAAAAGAAAUCAACCGAGAUUCCCCCAGUAGCGGCGAGCGAACGGGGAGGAGCCCAGAGCCUGAAUCAGCAUGUGUGUUAGUGGAAGCGUCUGGAAAGGCGCGCGAUACAGGGUGACAGCCCCGUACACAAAAGCGCAUGUGCUGUGAGCUCGAUGAGUAGGGCGGGACACGUGGUAUCCUGUCUGAAUAUGGGGGGACCAUCCUCCAAGGCUAAAUACUCCUGACUGACCGAUAGUGAACCAGUACCGUGAGGGAAAGGCGAAAAGAACCCCGGCGAGGGGAGUGAAAAAGAACCUGAAACCGUGUACGUACAAGCAGUGGGAGCCCCACCACUAAGCCAGUGGUGAACUCCACAUACGCAUCCUUUGCUGAGGAUACGGUUAACGGAGCGAAAGCGACGUUCAACCGCAAAAGAAGCAGAGGGGGCUUAGUGGUGGGGUGACUGCGUACCUUUUGUAUAAUGGGUCAGCGACUUAUAUUCUGUAGCAAGGUUAACCGCAUAGGGGAGCCGGAGGGAAACCGAGUCUUAACCGGGCGUUAAGUUGCAGGGUAUAGACCCGAAACCCGGUGAUCUAGCCAUGGGCAGGUUGAAGGUUGGGUAACACUAACUGGAGGACCGAACCGACUAAUGUUGAAAAAUUAGCGGAUGACCUGUGGCUGGGGGUGAAAGGCCAAUCAAACCGGGAGAUAGCUGGUUCUCCCCGAAAGCUAUUUAGGUAGCGCCUCGUGAACUCAUCUCCGGGGGUAGAGCACUGUUUCGGCUAGGGGGCCAUCCCGGCUUACCAACCCGAUGCAAACUGCGAAUACCGGAGAAUGUUAUCACGGGAGACACACGGCGGGUGCUAACGUCCGUCGUGAAGAGGGAAACAACCCAGACCGCCAGCUAAGGUCCCAAAGUCAUGGUUAAGUGGGAAACGAUGUGGGAAGGCCCAGACAGCCAGGAUGUUGGCUUAGAAGCAGCCAUCAUUUAAAGAAAGCGUAAUAGCUCACUGGUCGAGUCGGCCUGCGCGGAAGAUGUAACGGGGCUAAACCAUGCACCGAAGCUGCGGCAGCGACACUGUGUGUUGUUGGGUAGGGGAGCGUUCUGUAAGCCUGUGAAGGUGUGUCGUGAGGCAUGCUGGAGGUAUCAGAAGUGCGAAUGCUGACAUAAGUAACGAUAAAGCGGGUGAAAAGCCCGCUCGCCGGAAGACCAAGGGUUCCUGUCCAACGUUAAUCGGGGCAGGGUGAGUCGACCCCUAAGGCGAGGCCGAAAGGCGUAGUCGAUGGGAAACGGGUUAAUAUUCCCGUACUUGGUGUUACUGCGAAGGGGGGACGGAGAAGGCUAUGUUGGCCGGGCGACGGUUGUCCCGGUUUAAGCGUGUAGGUGUGUGUUCCAGGUAAAUCCGGUUCACUUUAACACUGAGGCGUGACGACGAGGCACUACGGUGCUGAAGCAACAAAUGCCCUGCUUCCAGGAAAAGCCUCUAAGCAUCAGGUAACAUCAAAUCGUACCCCAAACCGACACAGGUGGUCAGGUAGAGAAUACCAAGGCGCUUGAGAGAACUCGGGUGAAGGAACUAGGCAAAAUGGUGCCGUAACUUCGGGAGAAGGCACGCUGACAUGUAGGUGAAGUGAUUUACUCAUGGAGCUGAAGUCAGUCGAAGAUACCAGCUGGCUGCAACUGUUUAUUAAAAACACAGCACUGUGCAAACACGAAAGUGGACGUAUACGGUGUGACGCCUGCCCGGUGCCGGAAGGUUAAUUGAUGGGGUCAGCGCAAGCGAAGCUCCUGAUCGAAGCCCCGGUAAACGGCGGCCGUAACUAUAACGGUCCUAAGGUAGCGAAAUUCCUUGUCGGGUAAGUUCCGACCUGCACGAAUGGCGUAAUGAUGGCCAGGCUGUCUCCACCCGAGACUCAGUGAAAUUGAACUCGCUGUGAAGAUGCAGUGUACCCGCGGCAAGACGGAAAGACCCCGUGAACCUUUACUAUAGCUUGACACUGAACAUUGAGCCUUGAUGUGUAGGAUAGGUGGGAGGCUUUGAAGUGUGGACGCCAGUCUGCAUGGAGCCGACCUUGAAAUACCACCCUUUAAUGUUUGAUGUUCUAACGUGGACCCGUGAUCCGGGUUGCGGACAGUGUCUGGUGGGUAGUUUGACUGGGGCGGUCUCCUCCUAAAGAGUAACGGAGGAGCACGAAGGUUGGCUAAUCCUGGUCGGACAUCAGGAGGUUAGUGCAAUGGCAUAAGCCAGCUUGACUGCGAGCGUGACGGCGCGAGCAGGUGCGAAAGCAGGUCAUAGUGAUCCGGUGGUUCUGAAUGGAAGGGCCAUCGCUCAACGGAUAAAAGGUACUCCGGGGAUAACAGGCUGAUACCGCCCAAGAGUUCAUAUCGACGGCGGUGUUUGGCACCUCGAUGUCGGCUCAUCACAUCCUGGGGCUGAAGUAGGUCCCAAGGGUAUGGCUGUUCGCCAUUUAAAGUGGUACGCGAGCUGGGUUUAGAACGUCGUGAGACAGUUCGGUCCCUAUCUGCCGUGGGCGCUGGAGAACUGAGGGGGGCUGCUCCUAGUACGAGAGGACCGGAGUGGACGCAUCACUGGUGUUCGGGUUGUCAUGCCAAUGGCACUGCCCGGUAGCUAAAUGCGGAAGAGAUAAGUGCUGAAAGCAUCUAAGCACGAAACUUGCCCCGAGAUGAGUUCUCCCUGAGACUUAGAGUCUCCUGAAGGAACGUUGAAGACGACGACGUUGAUAGGCCGGGUGUGUAAGCGCAGCGAUGCGUUGAGCUAACCGGUACUAAUGAACCGUGAGGCUUAACCUUACAACGCCGAAG